CUAAGGGGAACAAAUUGGAGGCUUCUUGAGCUGAAUUUCUCUCUGUUCCAUCCUCUCCAGGUAGGAGCAGAACAGCAGGAGCUGGGAAAUGGUAAGGACUUUCCUCUCCAGGAGAAGACAUCUCCUAUCAUCAAGAGGAGACGAAGGCAGCAGAGAGCUAAAAUACCCCACAGAUUAAAACUCAAAAGUGCAUCAGGCUGAACUUCAGUUGAUGGAGAGCAGAGAUUUUGGCCAUGUGUACACUGCUGAGGCAAGCGAUUCUUGCAGAAAGACAAGGGGAAGGAGAGUAUUUCCAUCAUUUCGUAGGUGUUGGUGGAAAUUCAAGGAGGAAACAAAAUCCUGCCCUAGUGCAGGCAUCAUUUAAAUGAAGUCAUUGCUGAAGUUUUGACUGAUCACUUGUUCAGGACCAAGGAGCUUCAUUAUCAGAAGCAACUUGGCUGCCUGAGAUGAGAAUACACCAAGAUGAGGCAGAUGUUGCUGUAAUCAAGGCAACUGGGAACUGGAUAUGAGGUGGCCACGGGCUGGUCUAUGGACAUCCUUCCAUACUGAUGAAUAUUCAAUCUCUCUGGAAAGAGGAACUACUAUGAGUCAGGGAACCUGCUGUGAUGCACUACGAGAUCCCAGGGGACUGGUGCCCUGUGGUGCCUUCGGGCUGCCUUUCACCCAUCUGCUUUUUGGGGAAAGGCUCAACUAUUCUCCCCUUUGGAUGAGUCCAAAUCAGAUGGGAUGAGAGACUUUGGUAACCUGCCUCAUAAAGAUGUAUGGACCAAGGUGUGAAAAGGUAGAGAGGGGCUCCUUGAUAGUUUGCCUGGGGAAAAAAGAAUAAAGAACCUUGCGAAAGUUCUGGGGAGAGCAAAAAUUGAACUGGAGAGUCCAGAUGAGACAGAAGUAGAUAUCAUCUCGGCACAGUGGUAAUUGACUUUGAAGACGCUAUUCAUCUGAAUUACUCAGUUCGCCAGGAUUCCCAUCCUUUCCAUCUUCACUGAGGAAUUCAAUAUAU
Strigops habroptila (Kakapo) is the source of this 1000-nucleotide long non-coding RNA. RefSeq lists it as uncharacterized. The transcript is spliced from 5 exons. The record is from RefSeq and is a predicted model, not a curated record. Lineage: Eukaryota; Metazoa; Chordata; Aves; Psittaciformes; Psittacidae.